CUAGACAGGAAAGGAUGAACCUGCAGAAGAAAAAGAAAAGGCAAACAGCCAAAGAGGUAAGAAGAAACCAGCAGAAUGCCCUGACAUGGAAGCCAACAGAAAAGAGUAUUUCAAGAAACAAGACAAGUUCUCACUCUGUUGUCUAUCCUGGAGUGCAGUGGCAUGAUCAUAGACAGCUCACUAUAGCCUCGAACUCCGAGACUCAAGGAAUCCUCCCACCUUGGCCUCCCAAGUAACUAGGACUACAGGCACCAUACCUGGCUAAUUUUAUUUUAAUUUUUGCAGAGACAAGGUCUUGCUUAUGUUGCCCAGGCUGGUCUUGAACUCCUGGGCUCAAGUGAUCCUCUCACUUCACCUCCUAAAGUGUUGGGAUUACAGGUGUGAGUCACUGAGCCUAGUCUAAUAUUCUCUUACUGACCUGAAAGUAUUCUUUAAAUAUUA
This 441-nucleotide long non-coding RNA is filed under the name Homo sapiens (human). Its description in RNAcentral is "HSALNT0109241". Lineage: Eukaryota; Metazoa; Chordata; Mammalia; Primates; Hominidae. The record is from RNAcentral.